GGCUUGAUCUUUGGUGUGCGAUUAUUAAUACUGUUUAAAUGUGAGCAGACUCCCAAGUUCCAUGUUGGUCUUCCUGACUUACACUCUGCAGGUAGUAUUUGGACCCAUUUCAAAGACAGCACAGGCCAGAAACCAUUCCAGGGCAGUCGUUCUCUUCUGGCGGAAAAGGAUGUUGUCCUGUAUAUCAGGAGCAUAAGGCUCAACUCUCAUGGUAUAAGUAGUAAAAUCUCCAUCAGUAUUCAAGUGCCCCCCUCAGAUGCUCCUUCAGAGACUGACUGCUGACUGCUUCUGGUAGAAUGCUAUUUUGUAGAGAUGGCCAAGUGUACACUGGACUAAGGGCUGAUAUGUGAGAAACCGCAUCUAAUGCCAUAUCUGGAAUUGACUGUGGACCAAAAAGUUUGUAUACGUAUAUCCGAUUAUGGAUAAAAGACAAUUGGUGAGAAAUAUAGAAGUUGUCAGUAAAAUAUAAAAGGAGAAAUUAAUUUUUUUACCGACCCUUCCCACUUACUAUUCACAUUAUAUACAAAACUAUGAAUAAAAUAAUAUUUAUUAUUAUUUUUAUUCUAGCC
Molecule: long non-coding RNA, 569 nt
Filed under: Anas platyrhynchos platyrhynchos (common mallard)
Lineage: Eukaryota; Metazoa; Chordata; Aves; Anseriformes; Anatidae
Description: lncRNA (ENSAPLG00000024669.1)
Source: RNAcentral